GAGCCCCGAUGAAGCCGGAGCGGCCCCAGCCCGAUGGAGGCGCCUCCGUGGGAGCCGGUGCGCAAUGACUCGCUGCCGCCCACGCUGAGCCCGGCUGCACCGCCCUAUGUGAAGCUCGGCCUCACCGCGGUCUACACCGCCUUCUACGCGCUCCUCUUCGUGUUCAUCUACGCGCAGCUCUGGCUGGUGCUGCGCUACCGCCACAAGCGGCUCAGCUACCAGAGUGUCUUCCUCUUCCUCUGCCUCUUCUGGGCCUCGCUGCGUACUGUGCUCUUCUCCUUUUACUUCCGAGACUUCGUGGCGGCCAACUCGUUUAGCCCCUUCGUCUUCUGGCUACUCUACUGCUUCCCCGUGUGUCUGCAAUUCUUCACCCUCACGCUCAUGAACUUAUACUUCACGCAGGUGAUUUUCAAAGCCAAGUCAAAAUAUUCUCCAGAAUUACUCAAGUAUCGGCUACCUCUCUAUCUGGCCUCACUUUUCAUUAGCCUUGUUUUCCUGCUGGUGAAUCUGACCUGCGCUGUGCUGGUGAAGACGGGAACCUGGGAAAGGAAGGUGAUCGUCUCUGUGAGAGUGGCCAUCAAUGACACACUCUUCGUGCUGUGUGCCAUCUCUCUCUCCAUCUGCCUCUACAAAAUCUCCAAGAUGUCCCUGGCCAACAUCUACCUGGAGUCAAAGGGCUCAUCAGUAUGUCAGGUAACUGCUAUCGGUGUCACCGUCAUCUUGCUCUACACCUCUCGGGCCUGCUACAACCUGUUCAUCUUGUCAUUUUCUCAGAUGAAGAAUGUCCACUCCUUUGAUUAUGACUGGUACAAUGUAUCAGAUCAGGCAGAUCUGAAGAGCCAGCUGGGUGAUGCCGGCUAUGUAGUGUUCGGCGUGGUGCUCUUCGUGUGGGAGCUCCUACCCACCACCUUGGUGGUUUACUUCUUCCGAGUCAGAAACCCCACGAAGGACCUUAGCAACCCUGGGAUGGUCCCCAGCCAUGGAUUCAGUCCCAGAUCUUACUUCUUUGACAACCCCCGAAGAUACGACAGUGAUGAUGAUCUUGCCUGGAACAUUGCUCCUCAGGGACUUCAGGGAAGGACUUCUCCGAGCCCACCCAGAGAGGGCCAGGGCAUUUGCUGUUCGAAUCACUCAGUGGAACGUGAUCUGGGACAUCCAGGCAGACACCUCGGAUCCUCUUCUAAAGCCAGAGAAUACACGAACAAUAAUCACUAGUGUGAAUAUACUAUAAGAACCAAAAUUUGAAAUCUGUCAUUCUUAAAGUUAUUUACUAAGAUACUCACAAAUGUCACCUCAUUCAGUGUUUGCUACAACCCUAUGAGUUUUGCUCCAGACUACUAUGAUUGGGGACAACAAAGUAACAGCUCCCUGGCACAAGCAGGACUUUUGCAACAAGACUCCACUUUGGAUCCAGACAAAGCAAGCCAAGGGUAGCACCAGCUGACUGUCCUAAGGAAGAGUCCUCUGUUGAAAACCUUCAGCCAGACAGACUGGAUGACAGCUGAGUUUUUAGGCACUUUUCCUCAUGAAACGGGACUUCAGUUUUUUGCUAUAGCUUUCUCAUGGCUAGAUAGGACUGAGCGAUAAACCCUCACUUUAGUACUAGCAAAGAGCCUGGCUAUUUCAGUGGGUAUAAUUUAAAAUUUUAAAAGAGAUUCUGUACUUUUAUAAAGAUGUAUUUUAUAUAACUUAAAUACUAAUACUAAAGUAUGCUAGGUUUUUCCUUGAUUGUUAUUGCGAUGUAUGUUGUAGUUUGCACAGAUUUUCAUGCAUAAUUCACUUUAAAACGUAUAGCAUACGUGGUCUAAUAGUUUAAAGCUUUUGGACAAAAAGUUUCUUCAAUCCUUACCUCUGAAGGUCACUGAAGGUCACUGUGAUUGUGAGCACCACAUUGGUGGACUCCUAUAGCUGCCACUCCAGUGUUGAAGGUUAACAGGAAGCAGCGAACUACGGUGUGUACAUGACUGCCUCCACAGUAGCCAUUUUGUAUAGUUUUCUUCAGCCCAGUGUAACUGAAUACUCACUACCUCAGAAGGAUGGCAAGACUGCCUUCCCUGAUUCAGCCAGUGCUCACUAUAGUCAACCAACAGGUCCCUACUGAGUGUCAACAAUAAAUAUUUCUGGCCCUUGAGCUAAAGGGCUGUGGAUUCCUGACA
Cricetulus griseus (Chinese hamster) is the source of this 2156-nucleotide non-coding RNA. The record is from RefSeq and is a predicted model, not a curated record. NCBI's taxonomy places the organism in Eukaryota, Metazoa, Chordata, Mammalia, Rodentia, Cricetidae.